CAGUAGCCGCGGUAAUACGAAGGGGGCUAGCGUUGCUCGGAAUUACUGGGCGUAAAGGGAGCGUAGGCGGACAUUUAAGUCAGGGGUGAAAUCCCAGAGCUCAACUCUGGAACUGCCUUUGAUACUGGGUGUCUUGAGUGUGAUAGAGGUAUGUGGAACUCCGAGUGUAGAGGUGAAAUUCGUAGAUAUUCGGAAGAACACCAGUGGCGAAGGCGACAUACUGGAUCAUUACUGACGCUGAGGCUCGAAAGCGUGAGGAGCAAACAGGAUUAGAUACUCCUGUAGUCCCUGUCUCUUAUAC
RNAcentral lists this ribosomal RNA (301 nucleotides) under uncultured bacterium. RNAcentral describes it as "partial 16S ribosomal RNA". It matches the Rfam family "Bacterial small subunit ribosomal RNA", at positions 509 to 807 of the family's 1533-position model. The record is from RNAcentral.